GACGAACGCUGGCGGCGUGCCUAAUACAUGCAAGUCGAGCGGACGGAUGGGAGCUUGCUCCCAGACCGUCAGCGGCGGACGGGUGAGUAACACGUGGGCAACCUGCCUGUAAGACUGGGAUAACUCCGGGAAACCGGGGCUAAUACCGGAUAACUCUUUCCCUCACAUGAGGGAAAGCUGAAAGAUGGCAUCUCGCUAUCACUUACAGAUGGGCCCGCGGCGCAUUAGCUAGUUGGUGAGGUAACGGCUCACCAAGGCGACGAUGCGGAGCCGACCUGAGAGGGUGAUCGGCCACACUGGAACUGAGACACGGCCCAGACUCCUACGGGAGGCAGCAGUAGGGAAUCUUCCGCAAUGGACGAAAGUCUGACGGAGCAACGCCGCGUGAGUGAUGAAGGUUUUCGGAUCGUAAAACUCUGUUGUCAGGGAAGAACAAGUACCGGAGUAACUGCCGGUACCUUGACGGUACCUGACCAGAAAGCCACGGCUAACUACGUG
RNAcentral lists this ribosomal RNA (498 nucleotides) under uncultured bacterium. RNAcentral describes it as "partial 16S ribosomal RNA". It matches the Rfam family "Bacterial small subunit ribosomal RNA", at positions 28 to 507 of the family's 1533-position model. The record is from RNAcentral.